UUCAUUCUAUCUAAAAGUUAUAAUGAACAUUGUGUUCUCUAGCGUAUCAAGACUAUCUCUCCACCGUUACAUAUUCCAUAUGUAUGGGGAUGAUGCCCCUGAUGUCAGGUACGUGGAUAAUUCUUUAAGACACACUGCUCUAUACUAUUUCCUAAAAAGCAAAUGUCCUGGCGUGGACUCACUGAUAAUUUGACCAGAACCGUCUCCGAGCUGCCUACAGCUCGUAGAGAUAGUCUCUUCACUCACAGAACUAAGGUUAUAACGUAACCA
This is a long non-coding RNA of Etheostoma cragini (Arkansas darter), 270 nucleotides long. RefSeq lists it as uncharacterized. NCBI's taxonomy places the organism in Eukaryota, Metazoa, Chordata, Actinopteri, Perciformes, Percidae. The transcript is spliced from 4 exons. The record is from RefSeq and is a predicted model, not a curated record.